Molecule: ribosomal RNA, 441 nt
Filed under: uncultured bacterium
Lineage: Bacteria
Description: partial 16S ribosomal RNA
Rfam family: Bacterial small subunit ribosomal RNA
Source: RNAcentral
CCUACGGGAGGCAGCAGUGGGGGAUAUUGCACAAUGGGGGGAACCCUGAUGCAGCGACGCCGCGUGGGUGAAGGAGUAUUUCGGUAUGUAAAGCCCUAUCGGCAGGGAAGAAUUUAGACGGUACCUGACUAAGAAGCCCCGGCUAACUACGUGCCAGCAGCCGCGGUAAUCCGUAGGGGGCAAGCGUUAUCCGGAUUCACUGGGUUGAAAGGGAGCGUAGACGGCCAGGCAAGCCUGGAGUGAAAGCCAGGGUCCCAACCCCGGGACUGUUCUGGGAACUGUCCGGCUGGAGGGCGGGAGGGGCAGGCGGAAUUCCUGGUGUAGCGGUGAAAUGCGUAGAUAGCAGGAGGAACACUGGCGGCGAAGGCGGCCUGCUGGACCGCGACUGACGUUGAGGCUCGAAAGCGUGGGGAGCGAACAGGAUUAGAUACCCCAGUAGUC